AUGGGUGAAGAGCUCGCAUCUGUCCUCUCUUUCAGAGUGAAUGAGGCAGAAAAUGUGGCCGGGGCUCAAAUCGUCGUUGUAUUAAGCAGGCUUGCUGAUGUCUCAAUCAGAAAACAAUUACAUCAGUUUGGACAGACCAAUGCUGCUACUCUUCCAAAUUAUUGUGGCUUUCUUGAAAACCUACAAAGGAAACUUAGAUUCUUCAGGCAAAUUUUGGCUGGUAGAGAUUCUGGAUAACAGGUGAGACAGCAAAAGAGUUUAGAUGUAGAAUUUUUGUAUGGAUGAUUAAAUUCCCUUGCUCUCUUGAUUAAAUGUUGGCAGUGUUGGGGCUGAGUGUUUUAAACUCUUAACGUGUGUCUCUUUUUUUAA
RNAcentral lists this long non-coding RNA (369 nucleotides) under Chrysemys picta bellii (western painted turtle). RNAcentral's name for it is "lncRNA (ENSCPBG00000008910.1)". The record is from RNAcentral. Lineage: Eukaryota; Metazoa; Chordata; Testudines; Emydidae.